RNAcentral lists this ribosomal RNA (525 nucleotides) under Triticum aestivum (bread wheat). RNAcentral's name for it is "partial small subunit ribosomal RNA". Lineage: Eukaryota; Viridiplantae; Streptophyta; Magnoliopsida; Poales; Poaceae. The record is from RNAcentral.
AUGUUGUGUGCACCACAUGGUCGUGUUAUAUGUAGAUUCUCUGGUGGUAGACAUCGCAGUACCAGAUUUCCCAGUCCGGGUAGAGGCAUGGGACAACAAACGUAUAGGGCUAGUCACAAAGGCAGACAAAACCCCCAAGGAGGAUACGACAAGCUUAGGAAGAAGAGGAAAAUCGCUGCAAUGGUUAGCUCAUUGUGCUCAGAAUGGUCGGAUAGAAUUGGUAUAUUCAUUGAAGAGAUCGACAGUCUGGAUAGGGAGGAUGCCAGGGACUCUAGGAGCAAUUCACACAGGAAAAAGCGUCGCAGGGCUGCACGCGUUCCGGGCAUAAGAAUCGAAGAGUCCGAGCAUCAUGGGGGCAUCCCGGAGGACAAUGCAAAGUUUAUGCCAACCUUAGAGUUAGGGGAAGAUGGACAAGCAAGGUGCAGCAGAAACAGCUCUGAUGAUUUUGUCUCCCCAAGGACCAUAGCUUCAAAGCAAAAUGAACUCAGAUCCAAAAUUUGCCCUCGAGGAACAGUGGAAACGUGA